ACUCUGGUGUCUCGCCAUGGCCUGGAUCCCUCUCCUGCUUCCCCUCCUCACUCUCUGUACAGGCUCUGAGGCCUCCUAUGAGCUGACACAGCCACCCUCGGUUUCGGUGUCCCCAGGACAGACGGCCAGGAUCACCUGCUCUGGAGAUAUACUGGCAAAAAAAUAUGCUCAGUGGUACCAGCAGAAGCCAGGCCAGGCCCCUGUGCUGGUGAUAUAUAAAGAUAGCGAGAGGCCCUCAGGGAUCCCUGAGCGAUUCUCUGGCUCCAGCUCAGGGACAACAGUCACCUUGACCAUCAGUGGAGUCCAGGCAGAAGAUGAGGCUAUUACUGUCAAUCAGUAGACAGCAGUGAUACUUAUCCCACAGUGUCACAAGCAGACAGGGAAGUGAGACAUAAACGCCUCCUCCUCUAUUUCAUCCUCUUCCUCCUGUCCCAGAAGACACUGUGGACAAAACCAUGA
Molecule: RNA transcript, 459 nt
Organism: Cercocebus atys (sooty mangabey)
Lineage: Eukaryota; Metazoa; Chordata; Mammalia; Primates; Cercopithecidae
Gene name: Ig lambda chain V-IV region Hil-like
Exons: 2
Source: RefSeq, a predicted model, not a curated record